CCUACGGGAGGCAGCAGUGAGGAAUAUUGGUCAAUGGCCGCAGGGCUGAACCAGCCAAGUCGCGUGAGGGAUGACGGUCCUAUGGAUUGUAAACCUCUUUUGUCAGGGAGCAAAGGGCGCCACGUGUGGCGCUUUGCGAGUACCUGAAGAAAAAGCAUCGGCUAACUCCGUGCCAGCAGCCGCGGUAAUACGGGGGAUGCGAGCGUUAUCCGGUUUUAUUGGGUGUACAGGGUGCGCAGGCGGAAUGUCAAGUCAGCGGUAAAAUUUCGGGGCUCAACCCCGUCGUGCCGUUGAAACUGGCGUUCUUGAGUGAGCGAGAAGUAUGCGGAAUGCGUGGUGUAGCGGUGAAAUGCAUAGAUAUCACGCAGAACUCCGAUUGCGAAGGCAGCAUACCGGCGCUCAACUGACGCUCAUGCACGAAAGCGUGGGUAUCGAACAGGAUUAGAUACCCGAGUAGUC
This 459-nucleotide ribosomal RNA is filed under the name uncultured bacterium. RNAcentral's name for it is "partial 16S ribosomal RNA". It matches the Rfam family "Bacterial small subunit ribosomal RNA", at positions 338 to 795 of the family's 1533-position model. The record is from RNAcentral.